AUGAACCUGCUACUGAUUUUCCUGUUCAUGCUGGAGGCCCCUUCAGGUGUCCUCUCCCAAGUGCAGCUGAAGGAAACGGGUCCGGGAGCGGCGAAAUCUGGGGAGUCCCUGACACUCACUUGUACCAUCUCCGGAGACUCGGUUUCUAGCACCAGAGCCACCUGGGACUGGUUCCGGCAGCCCGCGGGGAAGCGGCCAGAAUGGAUGGGGUGCACAUGGUACAGGUCUGGCAGUUGGUACACUGAGUACCCCAGCUCUCUGCAGAGUCGAAUGACCAUCACACAAGACACUUCCAAGAACCAGUUCUCCCUGCAGCUCCGCUCGCUGACAGCUGCAGACACCGCCACCUAUUACUGCUCGGGGAGAGACACACAGUGACACAGAGCAAAGCAGGGACCGAUAGAAAAAGGGGAAGCGGUUUUUCCACAGUGCAGUGAUGUUCUGGCUACCGUGACAUUGGUAACACCGUGGGGAUUCUAGACCUCAUUCUCCAUGGCCUUUA
This is a non-coding RNA of Chrysemys picta bellii (western painted turtle), 502 nucleotides long. Lineage: Eukaryota; Metazoa; Chordata; Testudines; Emydidae. The record is from the annotation of a RefSeq genome assembly.